This 442-nucleotide ribosomal RNA is filed under the name Hanseniaspora vineae. RNAcentral describes it as "partial large subunit ribosomal RNA". It matches the Rfam family "Eukaryotic large subunit ribosomal RNA", at positions 191 to 649 of the family's 3401-position model. The record is from RNAcentral. Lineage: Eukaryota; Fungi; Ascomycota; Saccharomycetes; Saccharomycodales; Saccharomycodaceae.
UGGAACAGGACGUCAUAGAGGGUGAGAAUCCCGUGUGGCGAGGAUCCCAGUUCUUUGUAAAACGCUUUCGAAGAGUCGAGUUGUUUGGGAAUGCAGCUCUAAGUGGGUGGUAAAUUCCAUCUAAAGCUAAAUAUUGGCGAGAGACCGAUAGCGAACAAGUACAGUGAUGGAAAGAUGAAAAGAACUUUGAAAAGAGAGUGAAAAAGUACGUGAAAUUGUUGAAAGGGAAGGGCAUUUGAUCAGACAUGGUGUUUGGACGCCCUGCGCUCCUUGUGGGUGCAGGACACGCUUUUCACUGGGCCAACAUCGGUUUUGGCAGCAGGAUAAAUCGUUAGGAACGUAGCUGCCCUCGGGUAGUGUUACAGCCUGGCGGAAUACUGCUAGCCGGGACUGAGGACUGCGUCUUUUGACAAGGAUGUUGGCAUAAUGGUUAAAUGCCGCC